Molecule: transfer RNA, 74 nt
Filed under: Mycobacterium sp.
Lineage: Bacteria; Bacillati; Actinomycetota; Actinomycetes; Mycobacteriales; Mycobacteriaceae
Also listed under: 5 other names
Description: tRNA-Pro
Rfam family: tRNA
About the family: Transfer RNA (tRNA) molecules are approximately 80 nucleotides in length. Their secondary structure includes four short double-helical elements and three loops (D, anti-codon, and T loops).
Source: RNAcentral
CGGGGUGUAGCGCAGCUUGGUAGCGCAUCCGCUUUGGGAGCGGAAGGUCGCACGUUCGAAUCGUGUCACCCCGA